RNAcentral lists this small RNA (2153 nucleotides) under Rattus norvegicus (Norway rat). RNAcentral's name for it is "uncharacterized LOC102550999". The record is from RNAcentral. Lineage: Eukaryota; Metazoa; Chordata; Mammalia; Rodentia; Muridae.
UGUAGGGAACAGAGCAGAAGGAGUCAGACAGGCUGGUUUCCAUGGCCUUGGGGCCGGUCACUUCCUUCUGUGAUUCCCAUGUUCCUCAUUUGAAGCGUGAAGAGAGUCCCCUUGGCCUUAAAAGGCACAUCUUCUCCGUUCAUUCAUUCAUUCACUCAUUCAUAGAAGAUGGCGUUUCCUAAGGAAUAGAUUGCUCUGUAUAGCGUCUAUCUUUGGGGGGGGGGCGUAAAAUGGGGUCAUUUGGUAGACAUAUUAUUUGCUCAGCAAACAUUUACUUGCCUAGCCCUCCCCACUUGGAGAGGGAUAGAAUUUCCUCACUCUGUUGAUAUUAGAUUUAGCCAUGUGACUUGCUGGAGACAGAAUACAGGCGGAAGCGGCAGCAGCCAGCUCCGGAGUCGCUGAGCCUCCCCUUUCCCACCUCUUGAGCAAUUGUCCUUGGCCAUGAGAAUACCAGAUAGCGGGAGUCCUUCAGCCGGACAAAGAAGGAGCAGACAAGGGAGACAGCUGUGUGUGACCCAAAGCUCGGAGGCCAGCCCGACCCAGCUAACCCACGGUGCUGAGAUUGAAUUUAGGGGCCUUGCACGUCUGGUCAAUCACUCCAGGACUGAUCUCCAUCCCUGUCUCUGGUUCUUGUAGUUCGCCGGUCUCACUGAGAAGCACAGGAACUGUCUACCCUGUGCUGUGAGGACAGGAACUCUUAUUGGAGCUCAUCAAAUAGUCUGCAGGGUCCCGAGUGGCCUUUCUGCCUCUGCCCUGUCCUCUCAGUGAUGGCAGCCUUGAAACUGUCUUCUGAGUUAUGGCAGCUACGCCCACAGGACUGGGUGACCCAGUGGGAAAGACCAGAAGACUGAUAUGCACCCUGUGGUGUCCUUGCAGCUGUUAUGUGGAGUUUUGAGCACUGGGUAGGAGAUUCAUGAGUUUGUAAAAUGUCACUUCCUGUCCUCAAGAGGAAGCAGACGGUCACAUAAACCUAGGUGUGAUUCUUGGGUGUCAGUCUUCAGAGUCAUUCUCCUGGGACUCUCCCUUGGACCUGGGGCUCCUCCCUCCAUUAGGUUGGCCUGGCUGGCCAGUGAGGUCUGAGGAUCUGCCUGCCUCUGCCUCUCCUGAGCUGGGAUUACAAAUGCCUGCCACCACACCCAGCUUCUGACGUGGGCACAGGGGAUCAGACUCGGAUCCUUGUUCUCAUUCCACUGACUUUGCUAUUUCCCUCUCCCAUCCUGUCCCUUCUACUUCUUUUAUUUUCUGUCUUUGUUGCUGUGCAUAUUGUGCUACUUGAGAGAUAAAAUGCCUCUCCCGGCACGGGGCUCCAGGUCCCCAGCAGAGAGCUAUAUCACACCUUCUUCUUGCUCAGCACGGUUGGCAGGUUAUGGCUCUGUGCGUGUGUGCGUGGAGCCUACCGAGAACCCAGACAUUCGGAACGUCUGAGGGCUGCGAGGCACCCACUGGUGAUCAGAAUCACCAUGGGCUCCACUCUCCUCCAGGGUCUAGUGAGCCCUGUCCCCCGCCUCUUCCAUACCCAUAAUGUUCCUGAUACAUCUGCUGAUAUGCUGACGAGGACACGGAGCUGGGGCUGGGCGUGCUCCUCAAGGUGUCAUCACACAUGGUAUCGGUCUUUUGUCCCAUUUCGGCAUUUACCGGAAACAAGUAGGAGAGGUAGGGCUUGAUCUCAGCCAGGGUUUGAGGUUUGGUGAUGUUCGUUGAUGGUCCCUGUGGCAGAGGCAUGCAUGAGGCUGGGCUGACUACGGAUAUCUUGGAGGCUUGGGAAGCAGAAGUCAGGCUGGAGUGAGGCUCAACUAUAGAACCUGAAAGCCCAAAUACUACAUCUCCUGCCAGGGUGAUAUCCAUUUCUAGCCGGGCAGUGAGAAGUGGCUGCCCAGGGACCUGGCUCAGGGCGCUGGCACUAUUGCUCUGAUCACUUAACAGCUGCCCCCAAGGAUUAGGGUGCUGUGAGCUUCCUGUCAGGGUCACCUCGCACUUCUCAGAUGCAGCAACUCAUCUAGUUCUUCCUUUUAGGUCAAAUCUCCAAAUAGGAUGCACUACGAAUGAUCCAAGGUCCUUGGGCAUGAGGUGUGGGAACCUGCCUGGAUGUACAUCAGUUCUUUUCCUCUUCCUCCUCUUCCUCCUCCUCCUCCCCUCUUCCUCCUCUUCCUCCU